Molecule: long non-coding RNA, 12401 nt
Filed under: Nicotiana benthamiana
Lineage: Eukaryota; Viridiplantae; Streptophyta; Magnoliopsida; Solanales; Solanaceae
Description: long non-coding RNA (NBEN_LNC039918)
Source: RNAcentral
CCACAAACAAGAAAUAAGAGGAUAGUGAUUAAAUAGCUGUAUCUUCUUAUAUGACAUGGUACACCUUACAAACUUAUUAAACAAAAACUGACUUGGUAACGACACAAUUUAUGCGGUCAACACUAAUAUGUGAAGACAUGAUUAAACAUUUAAUUUUUUUUUUUAAAAAAAAACCUCACUGUGAUGACAUCGAACAAACUUUUUUUGUAUGAAUGUGAUGACAUGGAACAUGUACCUGUGAAAGUCUAUUUCCGAGGAGUAUAAUAGAUGCUGCAUUUGAAGCAGCAGUUUCCUGUCCUUCAACUCGCAAAGCAAUCCCCACAUCAGCAAGAGCAAGAGAAGGUGCAUCAUUAAUGCCGAUUAUUGCAUGCUAUUUUAUUUAUGGUUCUUGUGUUUAGAUAAUUAUUUACGAUAUUUCUGCUGGAGUUACUAAUGCUCUUUUGUUUUUGUUUUUUAAUAUGUCAUAGUACACCUUACAACUUAUUAAACAAAAACUGACUUGGUAACGGUUAAACAAUUUAUACGGUCAACACUACUAUGUGAAGACAUGAUUAAACAUUGAAUUUAAAAAAGAGACUCACUGUGAUGACAUCGAACAAACUUUUUUUGUAUGAAUGUGAUGACAUGGAACAUGUACCUGUGAAAGUCUAUUUCCGAGGAGUAUAAUAGAUGCUGCAUUUGAAGCAGCAGUUUCCUGUCCUUCAACUCGCAAAGCAAUCCCCACAUCAGCAAGAGCAAGAGAAGGUGCAUCAUUAAUGCCGUCACCAACCUUCAGUAUGCAAGAAUUUCCAGUUAGAUAGCUGUGCAUAGUAUCUGAGAUUUAGCAAAUCAUAUGCUCAUACAGAAAAAAACUAAUACUCGUUGAGAGAUGAAUAGAGAAAUGAACAGCCCCAAAGAAAGAAAAGAACUAUGACAACACUUGCUAGAGGGGCAAAUAGGACAGCCCAAUUACUGGAUGAUGUGUGCCAUGAAGUAGUUUCCUUAAAAGAGUCGCGUAAUUAUAGAAGUCAAUCUUUGUAUAUUAUAAGCAGAGUUUUUUUGGGAGAAAGGUAGCAGCCAAAUGCACAUGCUAUCAUGGACGAAAUAACUUAUAUAUGUUUGAGGGACAAGUAGAAAUAUUAGGUUUCACCAGAUAUGCAUUUACCAUGGCGACACGGUGGCCUGAAGCUUGAAGAACUGAGAUGGCAGCAGAUUUCUGCUGGGGUGUCAAAGAUGCAUUGACAAAUGUGUCUUUUAUGCCAACCGUGUUUGCUACAGUUGCAACUGCCUCUUCCCUGUCUCCCGAAAACAGUACUGCUUCAAUUCCCUUGUCCUGAAGCCUUCAAUUGGUAAGAAUUUGAAAAAAUGAGAAAGAUAUGAGAAAACUAAAGAAGAAUAAAUUUACGAUGUUUUACUAGAGGAAGUAGUAAAACAUCUGCUCUGAGUUUCAAUAUACAAGAUUCUAUGAUUCUAUGAAAUCAUAAAGAUUUCAUAGAAUCUUUAUGAUUUCAAUAUAAAGAUUUCAUAGAGGAAGUUACUCAUGCCAAGGACAUUAAAAAGUUUCAAUAUAAAACAUCUGAUCAUAAAGAUUUCAUAGAAUCUUUAUGAUCUGAGUUUCAAUAUAAAAGAUGUACAUAGAAGUCUAGAGUCUGUAGAACUGUGAGAGGCAAGUCAAUCUAAAGGUACAUAUAACUUCCUCAAAAGGCUCAAAAGUGAAAACUGGAUGAUAAAUUCAAAUUCCCACUUUAUGGUAACGUCUUCAAAAGAAUAGAAUUAAGACGAAGCUAAUGACCUACCACACAUUAAAGAAGCAAUGGUAACACAUAUGUAGCAAGGAGAAAAUAGUGUGGGGUCAUGGGGGACUAAUGAUGAUUGUAGUUUCUAAGAUGCAUCUAAAAUUUACAUUUGAAAUCAUCUUCGUCAGAGAGUACCUUCUUAUGGUAGACUCAGCAUCCUCGCGUAAUUUAUCAGAGAUCGCAAUAGCCCCAAUCACACCCUCUCCCUCCCGACCAACGUAUACAACUGUGGUUGAAUGGUUAGAUGAUUGCCUGUCCUCUAAUGGUUUAUGCAUCACAGAUUGCUCAAGACUCCUCAAAUCAGAAAGGUCUGUUUUUUGCUGGAAACGUUCUUGAACCCAUUUCAGCUUUCCAAUUGCAACCAAGAGCCCAUUUACUUCUGCCAUGGUUCCAGAGCCAGAUUCAGAUAAUUGUCCACGUUUGACAGGGAUACUCAAACCCAACGAUUCUGCUUUGGUUAUAAUAGCAUGAGCAAUGGGGUGAGAUGUUGUUUUCUCCACUGCAGCAGCUAUUUGAAGAAUCUCUAAUUCCUCAUGACCCAAGGACGCUACAGCAGAGACAGCAGGUUUUCCUUCAGUCAGAGUUCCUGUCUGAGAAUUACAGGCAGAGAUCAUGUUUUUAUUACAAAUAAAUUACUACAGAUCUUUUGAUCUUAUCUGUGGAAGUAAAAAUUGCAACAAAUUACUCAAUUGAAGAACUAUUGAACACCUUGUCCAGCAUGACAUGAUCCACACUUGCCAAGCGCUCCAGUACAUCUCCUCCUCUAAUAAGAAGCCCUUGUCUUGCUCCUGUUGGUUUCAACAGAAAAAUACAGUUCAGUAAUUUGACAAUCUAUUAGUAGGUUAUAUCAUGACAAAACAAUGACCAUUAAACUAGGGGAAAACAAAAAGGCAAGUAUAUAAUCCAAGAAGUGGAUUUCUGAAUGUUGGUUGUGCCAGUCUUUCCAAACCCAAAGCAGACUACCGUUUGAUGAAUCGCAAACGUAAGCUGAAUGUCUGCAUGAAUGUUUUGAACAAGAGGAUAAUGUCCUCACUGAAGGAGACUCCUCAACUCUGGCCAACUUUACUCAUGCCAAGGACCUUAAACAUAAGCCCCACGAUAUUUCUGUUUUUAAUGUAUUUCCUCAAGCCACUUGCCCAUGAGUCAACAAUGGCCCUUUUUCACUUUGCUCUCUUGGUAAUUAAAACUUCCAAUGUUUUGAUUACCCACGAUAUUUCUGUUUUUGAUGUAUUUCCCCAAGCCUCUUGCCCAUGAACAAUGGCCCUUUUUCACUUUGCUCUCUUGGUAAUUUGAACUCCAAUGUCUUGAUUGGAAGUGGAGUGCUUCUGCCAAAUGAGCGACUGAACUUGCCAUUACAUUAAAAACUAAAUCUAACGAGUCUUGCCACUAAUCCUUUUAUCUUCUUCUUCAUCUUGUAUUAUUUUAUCUUUUGCUCCGUCCUCUUUUUUAGUGACUAAGCAGUAAAAGGUGUAAAAGUUAUGAAAGAAGCCAUAACCAUACUAGAUAAACCUAAUGCCCCAAAUGAGAAGUGUCUCUUAAAAACUUUGGCCAUGGAGGCGCUGCAAAUAUCUCCAUGUUAUCCAGCAAACUCUCUAAUCUCUACACAACCACCCAGUACUCGUAAUGCAUUUGUGUACCACAUGGUUAGUCUCUUGCCAUCUUAAAUUUGAAGUAUUCAAGUCCUAACUGAUCUUGGACGGUGAAGGUUCAACAUUCUCUUCUCUUUUAAUUGCAUUUUUGAAGAAAUGAACUUUGAAUCUAAUGAAUCCUAAAAGCUAGCUCAUGAGGGUAGGAUUGACCAACAACAUAUAAGGAGACCCCAACUCAUUCCUUCUACUAAUGUUAGGACUUGACACUCCACACGCCCAGACGUCAGGACUAGACAGAGCGUAUAAAACACAACGCGGGGACCAAACAUUGAAAAACACGACACAAUAGACGCCGAUGGGCCUGGCUCUGGUACCAUGUGAAAAAAUGAACCUUGGACUUAUCUCAACCCCAAAAGCUAGCUCAUGAAGGGAGGAUUGCCCAAGACUAUAUAAGGAGACCACAACCCAUUCCCAUCAACCAAUAUAGGAUCUGACACUUCUGAAGGGGAUUGCAUCACAUAAUAACAAUAGUAUCAUGAAAAGUAACAGCCCUUGCAUGUUGUAGGAUUCCUCACAUGCAACAUUAAAUUUUCUAAUCACAAAUGUCAAUCACUCCUCUUCAUCUCUGAAAUCAACAUGGAAUUGAUUUUGAGGCAUAAUUGAUGAUAAUUCAGGGAUAAACUAAGGCACAAAGCACCAGUGAGUGUUGGGUGAGGCUGGGAAUGUGCCACUAUGGCUGUUUGUGUUUCCAGAGAGCCUUGGGUGCACCUUUCAGAGCACUGACCCAACACCACAACCUUUGCAACAGCGAAAUGCAGCUAUCAAGGGAUACACUAGUUACGCUCUCUCCUCAUUGGGGAACUGCAAUUCCGCAGUCAGUAUUUUGACUUAACUAACCUGCUCUUACCCAAAUUGCUCAGUGUUCAAAAGAUGUACUAUUUCAAAGAUGAUGAUAAGCAUCAAUAAUCCUCCUAGCAUAACAUACUCAAGGUAGACUCCUAGCUUCCAAAUUAUUCUAAAAAUAUUCUCGUUUUCAACUGUUAAAUAUAUAUGUCUCGGAUGAGCAGAUGACAGCCAGAGAGGUUUAUAGAAUUGCUAGUAGUAUUGGUAUCUCUGAUACCCGAAGAACCCACUUUUCUUCUUGUUGAUUGGUACAUCUAAAUCUCAGUCUAGCAUUUUAGUUUCUAAAGCAAAUGAUGCGUCAAAAGAAGAGUGAUGUAGUGAGAAAAGGUCAGUGUCCAAAAGAAGAUAAGGAAUGUAACAGGUAUGUCUUGAAUUGCUGUGUAUGAGGGAGAAUGAGGAAAUACCGAGAAUUACAGCAAAAGCAUUUAAAUCUGAUUAUGUACCUAAUGAGGUGCCAACUAGAAUUGCAGUUGGUGUGGCAAGGCCUAAAGCGCAAGGGCAGGAGACUACCUGUCAAAAAGAAGACAAUAUUGUCAAUCCAAAAUAACCAACAUGCCAUUUUAGGACAACUAUAAGUGGAGGAACAUAUGCUCGAAUUUUCAAGUUCCAGAACAAGCCAGGGCAUUAGAAUUAGGAACGGACUAGCUGACCACUGUAAGCUUGGACGAGUGGUAUCACAAUCAUUACAGAUUAUUUACUCAAUACACAAAUAGCACAAACUUCUGUAUGCAGCCAAGCUAUGUUGUGAUUUUACCAAUAAUGAUAGUAUGAUACCAGGGUAUUAAUGAAGCAACAACGUGAAAAAACUGCCCUUCUGCCAUAAUCCAAUAUACUACAGAUGUCCUCUGUUUUAAACUUUACAACUUGAUUUCUACUUGGAUCAUCCCAUAGCUUCCGCUAAAAGUGAACUACUCCUACAAGUUCCUUCUCCCUAAAAUAAUAGGCCAAACCUUCCAUUACCAGUAAUAUCAUAAGAGCAAAUGGAGAAGCACAGAGUAGACAGCAGACAAAGCACAAAGAUUUGGACAAGCUAAAAUGUAACAACUCAGAGGUAUGUCGCACUCAACUUCAGUGUCUUUUCCUAACCCCAAAAUAUAUAGUUUGACAUUUAUAAGUUCUAGACGUAUUUCGCACUCAACUUUAGUGGCUUUCCCUAACCCCAAAAGUUAUAGUUUGACAUUUAUAAGUUCUGAUAAACUAGCAGCCUCUAACAAGAUCUGACAGAAUAGAGAAUAACUAAAUGUUUUCUAGGCAAAAGAUGGCAGGAAAAUGGAGAGGUAAUUCAGAUUAGAUAGGAAGGCAUCGAUACAAAAGAUGGAUCAUCAGUUCACCAUGACGCACCAAUACAUCUACAGCAAGUUUCAGGCUCAGAAGCAAAGGAUCUCCUUCUGGUCCGGCAAUAUCAUUCAGUAAAACAUCUGGGAAGAUGUUUGAUCCAAGAUAAUACCUAUAUAAUGAGCAGUAAAUACAAAACAACAGAAAAUUAUAAGUAACAGACCAAGCUAAUUAGCAGUAAAUAUGAUUACUCAUUAACAUGAAAUAUAUGCAGUAACAGACCACCAAGCUAUCAUUGUUAGAGAGACUUAAAGUAACCGAAUAAGAGUAUCAAGGAUUCAUUGCUGCAGCAGCAAAUUGCUGCAGCAGCAAAUUGCUGCAGAAUCAUCGAUCAUCUAUAUUUUGAGUGCUUAUACCAAUGCUCGUAAUGGCUGCUGCUUCGAGUUGCUCCUAAUCAGAUGAUGCCCUAAAGGUCUUGAGAUUCUGUGGAUCUUGUUGCAUAUGAAAAGACCUGGAGGAAAUGGUUGAUGAAGAUUGCUCUAGACACUGCCUAUUUACCAGAAGGACAGAAUGAAUGUAUUUUGGAAAACAUGAACCAGACCGUAGAAUGCCAAGUCCAUGAACAUUAUACUUAUCUAGAGCUUCAAGCUGUAGAACUCUGCCAAUACUUCAUUGUAAUUAAGAAUUCGCUUGAGCCUUGGGUUUUCUCAAACAGCUUUUGAGGGAACAUGAGUGCUGGAUUUCCAAGGAAAUCCCUGUAAAUUCUGUAACACUCAGUUUCAAGGAAAUAAUAUGUUACUUGCAGAAAAUAAAGGAACAUCAACUACACCAUUGCCCAAAGCAAGUAGCAGUUUACUCACUAGUGUACUAUUUCAAACACAGAUGUUUUCCUUUUUUCAGAUAUUGUAAGUACCACCCUCAAACCCAUCCUACCCAGUGUUUUGAAAAGCGGUCGCUUCGUCGCUUAAAGCGCGAAGCGACGCGAAGCGACCAUCUAUCGCUUUUUGCAGGCUGAAGCGAGGCGACCUAGAGAAGCGAUCGCUUCCAUGGCAGAAGCGCAGAAGCGCAGAAGAUUGAAGCGCAAAAGCGAUCGCUUAUAUUGAAGAAAGUACAGGCAGGGGUCUUUUUUAAAAAAAAAAAAAAGAACUUUGGGGUUUGAAAAAACAUACCCUAAAUUGACAAAACCCUCUUUCUCCAGAAGCUAGAGGCUCGAUCUUCUUCCGUUGUCAAAAAAAGAAAAGCUAGGGUUAUCUUCUUCUUCUUCAGUGCACGAUCAGUCAACCAAGAACCAACCCAGGUAAUUUCUUCUCUUUUCUUCUCGUUUUUUUUUAUUUUUCUUUCUUCUGCUUUCUUCUUCAGACUAAUCGACGUCAGACUGGUCUUCCUCUUCUUCAUUUUUCUUCUUCUCUCUUUCUUUCUCUGUUUCGACUCUAUACAGUCAGGGGAAGGAACAAAUUUUUUUUUCCUUUUUGUUUGUGUACUGUACAUUUUCAGCAUAUAUAUAUAUAUAUAUAUUUAAUUAUUAUAUGUAUUUCAUUUAUUAUAAUAUUUCAGCAUAUAAAAUUAAUUAUAUAAAUGUAUUAAUUUUAAUUUAUGUGAUUUUUUAAAUGUAUAUUUCAGUUUAUAACUUUAUAUCAUUAAUUAUUAUAUAUAUUAUAUGUAUUUUCAGUUUAUUAAUUAUUUUUUCUCUUAUAUCUUAAUAGGGAUAAUUAAAUGUCUCAAAGUUCGAAAAAGAAAGACCCGGCUUGGCGAUAUGGCCAAAGAGUUAAUGAGAAAAAAUACAAAUGUUGUAUGCAUCUUUUGCAACAAGAUUACAACGGGUGGAAUUUAUCGCUUUAAAUACCAUCUAAUUGGUGGCGAUAGAAACGUUACAAGUUGUCCCAAAUGUCCACCGGAUGUGAGGGAAGAAAUAAAGAAUUUUGUUGAGAAGAAUUGUCACUUCCAACAAAACGGGGAAGAGAUGGGUCAAGCCAUGGAUCAUCGACUAAAGUCCCUACCUAGGAGCACAACAGUGGUUUUCCUACUUUACUCCCCCAGUGAUUCGACCCCCCAACCUCAUCGUUGAGGUGGAGUCCCUAACUGCUAGACUCUCCCUCCCUUGUCUUCAAAUACAAAAUUGGAUAUCCCAGAAAAUAAUUUUGCUAAGGAAAAAGGACAACUAUAUUAACGAUUAGAAUGCUAUAAUCUAAAUAUUAUGGAAGUAGUGACCUCUUCAGAAUAGUCGAGUGAACUAGGUGUCUGGAAAUAACCUGAUUGAACUUGAUCCAGAUUUGACUCAAUUCUGGGAGGUGGAUUGAAGUGAAUCAGUGCCGUGUAGGAUGCCAAGUGACAUGAUAAGGCUAUAUUACUUUUGACAGUGCUCCAAGUGCACCUUGUAAUAGAAAAUGCAUGCAGUUAUACGCAAUUAUAACUCAUAGGAGUGGAUGAACAUAGAUUUACAAUAUAGCAGCUUGUGAAUGGCGAGGAGGGAAAUAUGGCUUCAAAGAAAUAGAUCUAGGCAGAUAAAUUAACAUGCAAACGUUGACUGAUGAGUCAUCACACUCCAUUAACAUCAUAUCAAUGAGAAUUCACCGCUAAACCAUUAUUCCGUUCAUUUUAGAGGCUAAAAAGUAGUUGUUCAGAUCUCCCAGUUAGAACUCUUCUUCCAGUUUGUUCAAGUGUGCCUAUCCUUUGUCUAUCUAUACCUAAUAAGCUAAAGGAGCAGUCAAUUGUUUCUUAAAUAUAUUUGUGAUACAUAAGGAAAGAACAAUCGUGUUACCAGAACCCAAAAGUUGCAGCUGAUAAUGUCAUCACACUGUAAACAAAUGGCCCAGCAAUUGUAUCGGCUAGUCGCUGAAUUGGUGCUUCACGGCCUUGAGCAUCCUCAACCUGGAAGAUUGUUGCAGCUGAUAAUAUCAUCACACUAGACAAGAGGGUUGCUCUGAUGGUAAACAAUCCCCACUUCCAACCUAGAGGUUGUGAGUUCGAGUCUCCUCAAGAGCAAGGUGGGAAGUUCUUGGAGGGAAGGAUGCCGAUCACUUCCAACCGAGAGGUUGUGAGUUUGAGUUUCUCCAAGGGCAAGGUUGGAGGGAAGGAUGCCGGGGUCUAUUUGGAAACAGCCUCUCUACCCAAGGGUAGGGGUAAGGUCUGCGUACACACUACCCUCUUCAGACCCCACUAAGUGGGAUUAUACUGGGUUGUUGUUGUUGUUGUUGAUAAUAUCAUCACACUGUAAACAAAUGGCCCAGCAAUUGUAUCUGCUAGUCGCUGAAUUGGUGCUUCACGGCCUUGAGCAUCCUCGACCUGGAACAUUAGAAAAUUUAUGUAGAAGUUCAUAAGUUCCUUAACUUUCACAAAUUAAUAUUAGAGGGCGGUGUCCCUACACAUAUCUGCUAAUUCUAGUUUAAGAUCAGCAGCCACAUUGUGUGAAAAAAGGGUACAAAUACACUUUUGUCCACCCCCCUCAUAUUAGAAAGAGUUAUUCAGAAUUAGAAAUUUCUAAAUAGAGAAAAUAAUAUUUUCUCAGGAAAUAAAGGCUGCAAACAACGAAAAAUACAUGCCAAACAUCAAAAAGGGAGCCAGAUAACUCCACAAACAGUUAUCAUAAUCUCCAUUAGAAGUCCCAAAUUCCUCUUUAAUUGCAAAGAGAGAGUCAAAAGUAAUAGACCAUAUUCCACAUGUUAAAAAUUAUUCCACUUUGGCACCUUUGGAGGAUGUUAGAAGAGAUACUUUAUUAGAAUAUUGUAGUGUCAAGUGCCAUUACUAAAUCGGUCCAACAACAACAACAACAACUACUACCCAGUAUAGUCCCACAAAGUGGGGUCUGGGGAGGCUAAUAUGUAGACGGGCCUUACCCCUACCCCAAAGGGCUAAGUCGGUCCCUUAUCAAUUAAAUAUAAAAUUUGAAUUGUACCACAACUACAAAAUAGGUGUCUUCUAUUCCAUCUCAUCAGGUUGUAAAUAUAUUUCUUCCCUAUAUUAUUUUCUCACAUGGUUCAAAACCUCUAUGAUCUGGAUGGAGAUCUCACAACUUCUGCCUACCAGCACUGCCUUAUACUGUUUGUCUAGCCCAAGUUUUCAAUCUUCUUCGAAUUAAUAGUCUUCCAUUUUCAAGGUGACUGUUCUAGCGAUACCAAUCCUAUUUUCGGUAACUGUACCUGAGCACCGUGUAAUUUGAGUUGUUCAUUAUGGAAGCCUGCGCCUCUUUCUGGGGACUGUUACACUGCCACUUUCCGGUGAUCUUUAGAGACAACACUACUUCUUUCAAUGACCAUUCUAACGGCACUGUACCUUUUUCUUUUUCUAGUCACUGUUCCAGUGGUACCGCACCUUUUUGGUAAUCAUUUUGACAAUACCACUUUUUGGUGAUUGUUCAAGUCGCGACUUCUUUCAAUGACCAUUCUUUUGGACAAAACUUCUCCACAAGGAUUUCAAUUUUCAAAAAUUUCCAGUGAGAUUCAAGUGGUCAAAGGAUAAUAUUUACUUGACCAAACAAGGAAGUUCACAGGCUACAGGUUUUCCACCACUAAACUCAAUGAAAACCCACUGGAAUUUAGCUUAUACAUCAUUUCUAAUAAAUUUCCAGAUAUUGUGAUCAAUUUUGCACUCUCAAGUUCUAUGCAUUACAUCAAGAAGAAAACAGUAGUUUUAAUAGCCCAAUAAAAAAGCAUUCUAAGAUUUCUGUUUUCCCUCCUCAAGGCACUAUAUCUAACUGCUAGAAUAUGUUCCAGGCAGCAAUCUAUUACUUGGAAGUGAAAACAUCACUAAGAAACAGUGUGCUGACCAUGUUAACAAUCUUGGAAAUUGUUGAGUUGGAACCAGUGGAGGAGGCCUCAAUCCUUAAAGGACUGUCCUGAAACAUAAGAACAAAGACUUGAAUAUAAAAGUACAAAAAUAAAUGUAAGUCCAACCAUUGUUGCUUACAAAUAUUCCAGUUCUACUAUCAUAAGGUAUUUACCAACUAAAGUUAUCAGUAUGUGGGGCACAAAUCUAAUGUGCUAUUGUUCAUGCAACCUUAACAAGGAUCAUGUCAACAUUUGAACCUAAUAUCUCACCAGGAUUUUUUUUUCUUUUUUGAUAAGUAAUGUCUUACCAGGAUUUUUUUGAUCAGGUAAAGUAAAUUCCAUUAUAUGUAGCUUCCAGAGGAUGCAACUGAUUACUAAUGUUUCACCAGGAUUAUACUGGACAUAAUUAAUAUAUAGCCCGUCCUGUAUUUUUUUUAACAAUAAGAAUGAAUAUUAGUUCUAAAAGGUCAUUCAAACCUCAUUUCUUUAUAGGCGACACAAAGGGACAGAAAUGUAGUUCAUUCCAGAAAAGCUGCAAAAACCAUUUAGUAUAUCUUUACACAUAAUAUCUUUGCACCAUGUCCGAAGAGAGCAUAAUGGAUGUAGAGAAUUCAUAUAGCUUAACCCUAUUAGUUUGGGAUUAUCAUAUUUAAUUGAUUAUUGAAUCUUGACAUCACCAUACCCAGUUUAUUGUACCAGCUGAGACAGAAAAGCCCUUCUCUUUAAACACUGGAAGAGACUUCCAGAAAGCAUAGAUUCAUCCACAACACUUCGACCUGCAACGACUCUUCCCUGCAGAGGAUAUUUGAUUUAUAUUUUUGAGAAUUUAAGAUGUUGCAUGUUACCAAAUAACAGGAGCAACAAGUAUUUUAACUAAACACUACAUCCUUGGACAGAUAUUUGUAUUUUUAUGUUGCGCGGACUCUCCAAAAUAUUGCCGCACCCGUGUCACAUUCACCAAAAAUACACUGCUUUUGGAUAAUCCGACACGCACCCGGCAAAAGAGGAUGAGUUUCUUCCUUUUGAAGCUGAAAAAGGUACCACAAAUGUUUUAAACUAUUAACACUGUUACUAGUUCAAACAGGACAAAAUUCUCAUUUGUCCAAAAUUACCUAUCCAAUCCUACGAAAAACAAAGAAAAUUCCAUUUGUUUCUUGAGAUCAGCAUCUAAAAUUGCCAUAAAUCUGCUGAAAGUGCAAAAGAAAAAAUGUACUAGAAACCACCAUUAAGAUGUAUUGAGGUCUAUGUUGCUCGGACUCUCCAAAAAUAUCGCCGGGUGAGAAUCAGAUCUUCAAAAGGUAGUGCAUUUUUGGAGGAUCCGACACGGGUGUGACAACAUUUUGGAGAGUCCCCACAACAUAGACUGAGGUAAUAAUUUAUUCCUUGUCUAAUGGUUCCUUAUUGUUUUUUAGAAGCUGAUAGUUUAGCAUUAGUAUCUUAAAUGCUUGGAGCAAUGAAAUCCGAGGAAAUUAGCACAUGGGUUCUAUUCUGCUUUACUGAAGAUCUUCAGACCUUUGUCCUCGAGCUAAAAUCCUGAAAAGAAAGUACUCGUGCAAAAUUUGACUUACAUCUACGGGUAUAGUUUCUCCAGGCAAAACAAGCAAAGAAUCACCAACUCGAAUAUCAUCAGUUGGAACUUCAAUACAUAUUGCAUCAGAGCUGACGACAUCACCUGAGGAACCACUGCUGGAAGAAGUAACCACAAGUCUAGACUGAGUGGAUAUAAGCGACUGCCAAGAGAACCACAACAACAGUUUGUUGUAAGACAAAGGAGUAAAUGUACUUCAAUUCCAAGCUCUGGGGGAUCUUGUCUUAAUAGUAUAAAUGAACUUUUAGUUCAUUAGAUAAAAAAUAGAAAGUAUCCAUGUGUAUCCUUUAUUUGAUGUCUUCAACGAAGUAAGAAAAAAGUAGCCAGAAAAUAACCUAAUAUUAUUCUUUGCUAAGUGCAGCUAUUAGGUAGCAUUGUUUUCACACCACUAAACAUAUGGCAAUUCCUCCAUAGAUACAACAACAACAACUACCCAGUGGAGGGUAAUAUGUAGACAGGUCUUACCCAUACCCCGAAAGGGCAGAGAGGCUGUUUCCAAUCGACCCUC